Molecule: small nuclear RNA, 102 nt
Organism: Eublepharis macularius
Lineage: Eukaryota; Metazoa; Chordata; Lepidosauria; Squamata; Eublepharidae
Source: RefSeq, a predicted model, not a curated record
AUACUGGCUUCAGUAACAUCUAUACAAAAACUGGAACAAUACAGAGAAGAUUAGCAUGGCCCCUGCACAAGGAUGACACCAAAUGAAACAAAAACAGUAAUA